Molecule: ribosomal RNA, 254 nt
Filed under: uncultured bacterium
Lineage: Bacteria
Description: partial 16S ribosomal RNA
Rfam family: Bacterial small subunit ribosomal RNA
Source: RNAcentral
UACGGGGGGAGCAAGCGUUGUUCGGAUUUACUGGGCGUAAAGGGCGCGUAGGCGGCCACCGCAAGUCAGUUGUGAAAUCUCCGGGCUUAACCCGGAAAGGUCAACUGAUACUGCGGGGCUAGAGUGCAGAAGGGGCAACUGGAAUUCUCGGUGUAGAGGUGAAAUGCGCAGAUAUCGGGAAGAACACCCGUGGCUAAGGCGGCUCUCUAGUACGGUACUGACGCUGAGACGCGAAAGCGUGGGGAGCGAACAGG